GAUUAACGCUGGCGGUGUGCUUUAUACAUGCAAGUCGAACGGUCCUUCGGGACAGUGGCAAACGGGUGAGUAACACGUGGGUAACCUACCCUGAAAUGGGGAAUAACUUGCCAAAGGUAGGCUAAUACCUCAUAAGCUCACGAGGUGCAAUUCCAAGUGAGAAAGAUUUAUCGUUUCAGGAGGGGCCUGCGGCUGAUUAGCUUGUUGGUGAGGUAAUGGCUCACCAAGGCUGUGAUCAGUAGCUGGACUGAGAGGUCGGUCAGCCACACUGGGACCUUAGACACGGCCCAGACUCCUACGGGAGGCAGCAGUAGGGAAUCUUCCGCAAUGGGCGCAAGCCUGACGGAGCGACACCGCGUGCAGGAUGACGGUCUUCGGAUUGUAAACUGCUUUUUGUGGGACGAAAAUUCGGACGGUACCACAAGAAUAAGCAUCGGCUAACUACGUG
Molecule: ribosomal RNA, 448 nt
Filed under: uncultured bacterium
Lineage: Bacteria
Description: bacterial SSU rRNA
Rfam family: Bacterial small subunit ribosomal RNA
Source: RNAcentral